This 8546-nucleotide transfer RNA is filed under the name Salmo salar (Atlantic salmon). RNAcentral's name for it is "lncRNA (ENSSSAG00000102740.1)". The stretch from base 3011 to 3064 matches the Rfam family "UnaL2 LINE 3' element". Lineage: Eukaryota; Metazoa; Chordata; Actinopteri; Salmoniformes; Salmonidae. The record is from RNAcentral.
UCUGGGUAGCCAUUACAAAAACUACAAUUUUUUAAUUUUUUUGUUAUUUAUUUUUUACUUCUUCAUAUAGUGGUUGGCAGGAUAAUAUGUAUGAAUCAUUUAAAAAUAAACUUUCUUAAUUGUGUUAAGUAGGUAUGUGGCAACAUCCAAACUUUUUUCCAACAGAUAUUAUCAAUAAAACCAUUCCAGUAAGUUUCCUGUUGAAACCUUGCUCGUAUAGCUCUAUUGUUGUUGAAUGGACUAAAAGAAAAACAAAUCUUUCCUACUGAUGAGUCAACAGGGUUAAUUGUAGGUAUGUUCUGAGGGUCAGGGCCCUGUUUCAGAAAGCGGAAACUCUGGUUGAAGGAAACUCUGGGUUUUCGGUUUGACAAAGCCAGUUCAGUUGAACUCUGAGUCAGUUACUAUGGCAACAUACUGCCAGCGAGCAGAUCUUCAACUAACCCGGAGUUUCUUCUCUUUAGCUGAAGCCUGCAGACUGAAGGUGUCAGACAUGGCAUGUCCUUUUUUUGAAGAGCCAGUUGAUAGUGAAGCACAAAUAAUCCACAGAAAUCGGUCGGGAGAGGGAUCAGACCCCGCUUGGAUGUUUUAUCAUUCCCUGAUGAUUAUGUUUGUGCAGAAAAACAGAAACGCUCAAUCGAUCAUUCAUCUGAACAAUAUCCUCAGCCCUCAUUUCGUUCAUAUGACACAUCGUGGAAAUGCUCUCAGUUCGGAAUAAAAUAAUUUGUUGCACUUUGUUUUUUUGCCAACGGGAGUUUUCUAUAUAUCAUCAGUGACGCUGAGCAUAUAUCCAAGGCAACCGUCUGUCGGGCUGUCAGAAAUAUGACUCCUGCACUGAAACGUUUAGUGUACACUUUUGUGGCGUUCUCAAGUCACAGACUCACAAGACUCAAAGAAGAAUGCCACAGAAUUGCAGGCAGAGCAGGCAACAGAUGGCACACAGACAGCAGAGUUGGGGACAGAUAUGCAGGGACAGACUGGCAGAGACAGGGAGUCUCAGCUGAAAAUUUAAACUGUAGCCUCGUAUUAUCAUAGGAGAGUUCAAUGGUAACCUGCUUGGUGACAGAGAGUACCCCUGCCAGCUCUAUUUGCUGACCCCUUACCCUGAUCCUGGGCAUAGCCCGCAGCAACGUUAUAACUUGGCUCACUGCAGGACACGAUCCAGGGUAGAGAUGACCUUUGGGAUGCUCAAGGCCCUGUUCCAGUGCCUUCGUAGGCUCAGGGUCACCCCAGAAAGGGCACGUGACAUUGUGGCAUGUGUGAUUCCCCACAAGAGAAGAACAAUGUCCUCAACCAGUGAACGUUCCUGACACCACCCCGCUGACGCAGAAGAUGGAAGAGCAGUCAGACACAAUAUGCUACCAUCAUUUCUAAUUGACCCAUCACCUCCCCAGUGUCAAAUAAAGACAAUAUGCCUUUCUUUUUAUGAAGUCUUUAUUUCCUGCAAGUACAAAUGCAGUACAGUAAUACUUUUAUGUUCAAACAAGUAAAAUCUAAAUUACAUUUUUCAAUUUGGUUCUUUAAGUACACAUAGUACAGCUGUUUCACAGGGAGCUAUAGGAACACAAAAAAAUGACAUUGAAUUUCAGUGCCAGGUCUACUUAAUUUCAUUGUAAGUAAUGGGCCAAUGCUGAACAAAAUCUUACUGAGGUAAAUUGUGCUGUGUAGGUGUAAUUUCCAGCAUUGCUCUGUUAGAGAAAAAGGUGCAAGUUUUAUUAUGGUACAACACCAUCAACUGUUAGAUGUAAUUUUUAAGGUGUAAACGUCAAUAGGCCUCUCUGUAUUUUCCCUCUCUGUGGCAGCUGACAAGGUGUCUUCAUCCUCCUGUAAUGAAAAUUAACAAUUUUGGUGUUCUACUCUAAACACAUGACAAAUCUGUGGCGUAUUAAGAGUACUUACAACUGCAUGGAGGUCUGUUAUGGCAGAAGGCUCCAGACAGAUUACACCAUCAGUAACUGGUAGAAUAUUAAGAUUAGACAGUUCAAUUGUAACUUUACCCAGAAAAGUGCCCCACAUAAUUUGAAUUUUGGUUUUACAACAGUGUGUAGGCCACAUCACAAUUUUUCAAAUAUAUAAUUCUGAGUCACCUUAAAAUAGAUUAUGACAUCUGAAGGACAACUAAGAAUCUGAAAAAAGUAACAAGUCAAUUACAAAUAAUUGUACCUCUAAAGAAAAUCAGUGUGCAAAGUUGUGUCAGAUGGAUGGGUGGGUGUCACUGAGGUAACACUGGCAAAAGGAUGAAUGUACAAAUCAUUAAUUUGAAUAACUAAACUCUUAUGUUGGCCCUUGUGUCCUGGGGGGGGGGUACAGAUGAGCUUCCUCCAAAGAUACCUUCAUCAGGUCACCCACUGUUUUGACUGAGGGAUAUCUCUUCAGCCUCUGAGUGGUGGUGGACCCCCACCUGUUUUGCAGCCCUAAGCCUUUUUCUAUUGGUUAUAAUUGAGGUCAAAUGUGAACAUGUCCAGUAAGCACAAAUUCAGAGACUUGUAUGUAUAAAGGAAUUUAAAUGUUACUUUCAAAUACUGGCAGUGUUGGGAUGGCUGAAAAACACACUUUUUUUUUGCUUAGAAAAUGUCAUGAAAUACUUAAAUAUAUUAUAGGUUGAAUGAUGCAACAGUUUAAAAUAUUUUACUAAGUUACAGUACAUAAGGAAAUCAGUCAAUUGUAAUAGAUUUGAUGGAUUUCACAUGACUGGAAAUACAGAUAUGCAUCUCUUGGUCACAGAUAACUUUUUUUUUAAAGGUAGGGGCAUGGAUCAAAAAAACAGUCAGUAUCUGGUGUGACCACUCCUCUUCAAUGGCUGUGCAAAGUUGCUGGAUAUUGGCGGGAACUGGAACACGCUGUCGUACACGUCGAUCCAGAGCACCCCAAACAUGCUCAAAGGGUGACAAUUAGUGGUCCUGUGUGGCUCCGUUGGUAGAGCAUGGUGUUUGCAACGCCAGGGUUGUGGGUUUGUUUCCCACAGGGGACCAGUAUGAAAAAAAAUGAAGAAAAAAAAUAUGUAUGAAAUGUAUGCAUUCACUACUGUAAGUCGCUCUGGAUAAGAGCGUCUGCUAAAUGACUAAAAUGUAAAUGUAAAAUGUUGCCACUGAAUGCUGUUUAAUUAGGUAUGGUAGGCUAAACAACAUCACAAUUGCUUGUAAUGAAAUUAUACCUUACCUGUUUGAAGUAUAUUUCAUCUUCAGUGGCUGCCAAGUAGGUUUUGUGCCCGUUGGGUUGGACAUGCAUUAAUAUUAAACACGCGCACACAUUUAUAUUAUAUUAAAUGUUGAAUAAGUGGAACACUCGAGAUAAAACUUUUUAAAAUGAAUACUCACGCAUUGACUCGAUCAACAAUUUUCUGCCACGCCAACUCACGUUCUUUUGCUGCUGCAUUGCUUUUUUCCUUAAAUAUAUGCUCAUAUUCUGCAUAUGUUAAUAUUUCUAACUCCACUGGGCAAGUAGGAGGUUGGAGCCCUUUUCUCCUGUUGCCAUGAUGAAUCAUGUUAUCUGCGUUCCUUUGAUUAGGGCUUUUUAUCUCCUCAUGCACGUGCUUUACUCAGGGUUAACUUAACUCAGAGUUGAUUGAACUAAUUGUUAUCACCUCCUCUGAAACCGAAAACUCAAGAGUUUGACAGCUCAGAGUUAGUCAACCCAGAGUUCAGGUUUAAACUCAGAGUUUGUUAAACCUGCUUUCUGAAACAGGGCCCAGGUCUUGACACGUUCCUCAAUAAUAAAUCCGCAUCUGCGGGAAUUGCAUCUAAAACAAUUGCAAAACUCCACACUUGACUCUCAGCUGCGCGAUAUACUUACAUACGUCAUCAAUUUGGGCACCAGGUGUGUCCAUAUAGCCAAAGACAGAAGGCGUAACAUCGCGAGACUUCCGGGAUCUUACUUACUUAUACGUUUUCUCGAAAUCUAAAGGAACAACCUAGAUUCGAGCCAAUGUCUUAUGUAGUUGAACUUGUUAUUACUCCAACCCUGUGAGAGUCACAAACUGACACGUUUUCAUUUUCGUCAAAAACAACUUUAUAUAGGAGUGCCUCUGAGUUGACGACAUGCACAUGCGCAGUUCGGCGCGAGACGACCCGAUAACGUGUUUCUACGUAUGAGCUUUGCUAGCCAACAUCGCCAACAAGCGUGCCCGAUGAUCUUCAUGAUGUACCGUCUUUGGUAUAGCCUCUCCCUGGCUAGGUGUCUGGCUAGCGGCUAACUGUCAAACACGCAGAUUCGAGUUUGGGAAACCCUGCUCUAUGUGACUGGAGCCAUGCAUCAGGUGCCAGGUGUGCAGGAGCUCUUCGCCUGAUCAGCAUCCUUGACCUCAUCAACCAGUAAACUUGAGUUUACCCAUUGCGGUUUACCGUAGCAUUUGUGUAUGUUCAUUGUGAGGGUUAUUACCUUGAGAAUUCCUCUAUAGUACAUGUCUGAGUAUAGCCUUCCCUGUAGCUCAGUUGGUAGAGCAUGGUGUUUGCAACGCCAGGGUUGUGGGUUCGAUUCCCACGGGGGGCCAGCACAGGAAAAAAAAAAAAAAUGUAUGAAAUGAAAUGUAUUCCUUCACUACUGUAAGUUGCUCUGGAUAAGAGCGUCUGCUAAAUGACUAAAAUGUAUAGGUCAUUAUCUGUUUUGCCUUAACAGUGAGACAGACAUUCCUCUGAUGGUGUAUUGGUGUUAUCAUGGCAGGUUUGGUGACUGUGGAUCUGUUCUAGACAUAACUCUGCUGAUCUACCCCACACUGGGUCAUCAUUAAAAGUACAGUCUAGUGUUUACAGCAUUUUGUAGAAAUGCAUCCCGUGUUCAAAUACAUCCUCAUCAAUGCAGCAGCCUUGAUUUGAAUAGUUGAAUAGGAUCAUUCAUAUACUUUAUUUACAUAUAUAUACUCCUUCAUUUUCAGUAUUUCUCAUGUUUCAGAGCAGAAGAAGCAGUGGAAAUGCUGAAGACCUUUUUAUAAACAUAAGAACCCAAAUGCCCCCAAGACAAGGAGUGAGAUACUGUUGAUGUCCAGCAGGGGGCAAUAUUAGUUAAGUAAUGAGGUGAGGAGCAGAGAACGAUCAUGAGGCAAAGGGAGUAGCUAACAAAGGGUUCUCCUGAAACAGACUUGGAACACAACAAUGGGUCCUAUGGAUUUUUGUCUGACAAAGAAAUUAAAUGGACUUUUUCAUAUUUUCACGUAUUCGCUCAGCCUUUUGCAUCAGCACUCAUUUUUAUUUUCAUAUUAUUGAUAGUGUUUUAUACCCUUACAGCAUAGUUUGGAUGGACAGUGGACACUAUCCAGGGCCUGUAAAGUGGCUUGCUGCUAAAACAGCCUCUACUCUUCUGGGAAGGCUAGAUGUUGGAAUAUUUCUGUGGGGACUUCCAUUCAGCCACAAGAGCAUUAGUGAGUUCGGCCACUGAUGUUGGGCGAUUAGGCCUGGCUUGCAGUCUGCGUUCCAAUUCAUCCCAAAGGUGUUCGAUGGGGUUGAGGUCAGGGCUCUGUGCAGGCCAGUCAAGUUCCUCCACACCGAUUUCGACAACCCAUUUGUGUAUGGACCUUGCUUUGUGCACAGGGUCAUUGUCAUGCUGAAACAGGAAAGGGCCUUCCCCAAACUGUUACCACAAAGUUGGAAGCAUAGAAUCGUCUAGAAUGUCAUUGUAUGCUGUAGCAUUAAGAUUUCCCUUCACUGGAACUAGAGCCUAGCCCCAACCAUGAAAAACAGCCCCAGACCAUUAUUCCUCCUCCACCAAACUUUAUAGUUUGCACUUUGCAUUGGGGCACGUAGCGUUCUCCUGGCAUUCGCCAAACCCAGAUUCAUCCCUAUAUGCUGUCUUGUCAUUGUUGGUGAUCAGGCCUGCCACUGUUGUGUCAUCGGCAAAGGUAAUGAUGGUGUUGUGCCUGGCCGUGGAGUCAUGAGUGAACAGGGAGUACAGUAGGGGACUAAGCACGCACCCCUGAGGGGCCCCUGUGUUGAGGAUCAGGGUGGUGGAUGUGUUGUUACCUACCCUUACCACCUGGGAGCGGCCCGUCAGGAAGUCCAUGAUCCAGUUGCAGAGGGAGGUGUUUAGUCCCAGGGUCCUUUGCUUAGUAAUGAGCUUUGAGGGCACUAUGGUGUUGAAUGCUGAGCUGUUGUCAAGGAAUAGCAUUCUCAUGUAGGUGUUCCUUUUGUCCAGGUGUGAAAGGGCAGUGUGGAGUGCACUAGAGAUUGCAUCAUCUGUGGAUCUGUUGGGGCGGUAUGCACAUUGGAGUGGGUCUAGGGUUUCUGGGAUAAUGGUGUUUAUGUGAGCCAUUACCAGCCUUUCGAAGCACUUCAUGGCUACAGAUGUGAGUGCUUCGGGUCGGUAGUCAUUUAGGCAGGUUACGUUAGUGUUCUUGGGCACAGGGACUAUGGUGGUCUGUUUGAAACAUGUUGGUAUUACACUCAGACAGGGAGAGGUUGAAAAUGUAAUUGAAGACACUUGCCAGUUGGUCAGCGCAUGCUCGGAGUACACGUCCUGGUAAUCCGUCUGGCCCUGCGGUCUUGUGAAUGUUGACCUGUUUGAAGGUCUUACAUCGGCUGCGGAAACCGUGAUCACACAGUCGUCCGGAACAGCUGAUGCUCUCAUGCAUGUUUCAGUGUUACUUGCCUCGAAGCGAGCAUAGAAGUAAUUUAGCUCGUCUGGUAGGCUCGUGUCACUGGGCAGUUCUCGGCUGUGCUUCCCUUUGUAGUCUGUAAUAGUUUGCAAGCCCUGCCACAUCCGACGAGCUUCGGAGCCGGUGUAGUACGAUUCGAUCUUAGUCCUGCAUUGAUGCUUUGCCUGUUUGAUGGCUCGUCGGAGGGCAUAGCGGGAUUUCUUAUAAGCUUCUGGGUUAGAGUCCCGCUCCUUGGAAGCGGCAGCCCUACCCUUUAGCUCAGUGCGGAUGUUGCCUGUAAUCCACGGCUUCUGGUUGGGGCAUGUACGUACGGUCACUGGGGGACGAUGUCAUCAAUGCACUUAUUGAUGAAGCCAGUGACUGAUGUGGUGUACUCCUCAAUGCCAUUGGAUGAAUCCCGGAACAUAUUCCAGUCUGUGCUAGCAAAACAAUCCUGUAGCUUAGCAUCUGCUUCAUAUGACCACUUUUUUAUUGACCAAGUCACUGUGUAUUAAUUUGAGAGUGCUUUCAUUUCUCCAGCUCCAUCCCUCCGGUUUUUAGAUAAUUUGUCUUUGAGAGUUUAUUCUACAAACAGUGAUUAGGCCCUUACAUGCUGUCAUGUUAUUGAUCUUAAUCACGUAAUAAUAACCUCUCUCCAGUUCCCUCUGGUUUUGUGUCUUCUGGUUCAUUCCUUCAUAAAGGUUUUAAAUGUUUGAUGCUUGCAGUAGUGGCGUGUUAGAUGAGAGAUGUCAUGCCCUUGGCUACAUUCUGACCAUACAACCCCCCCUGAAGGUCACUCAUGUAGAGCUCUGCUGCUACGGCCAAAGAACCACUCAGGAUCCCUGCCUAAGACUGGCACAGUACACAUGCUCAGCCGCCUGCCCCCACACAUCCGUCAGAGAAACACACACACACACCUUGCCAAAGGAUCUGUACUCUGUAUUUUCUGUGCUUGGAGGGUGCAGGGGUUGAGUGCCACCACAGUGAGUACUUGGAGCCACUAUGCAGGGCUAUAUUUGGGCCUCCAUCUUGUGCCCGCUGAAUGAGCUGCUUGGUGUCACACUAUGAUUUUCCACCCACUGGGACCUGGAGAACAGAAAGGCUGCAUUUAAACUGCUUUUACUUCCACUAAUGUCAGUACGCGUUGAGCGGUAAUGUUAUUUGUGCUCAGACUCUCUGGCAUUUCCGCCUGCAAGUUUGUAGUUAUCAUACUUUUGAUUGGCUGUGACUAAGCCUUGCAUGUUGCUCAAGCUUCUCCUGCCUACCAAACACCGUUUACUUCCCAAUUACUAUGCUAAUGUAUGCCAGCAAAAAAUCCUUCAAAAUGCAUUCAAUUUGUCACCUCCACAUGGGGGACCGGCAGUGUUAAUGAGAAGACUAUGAAGUGUCGUUCUCUCGUUAUCAAGCUGACAGAGAGCCUGUGACGGUGCACACACUCCACCAUGACAAAAAUGUAUACAAACAACUUACCCGGCAAAGAUGUCAUUAUCUAUCAGGAUGAAAAACCACAGUUGUCAAGAGCACCUAUUUCUGUUUCACUGCAAACGACUGUGUUUGCAGAGGAAUGGAUGAGAAGGGUUUAAUUUUUCCAUCUAAUUGAGCUGACGGCUACUAUUACAGGAACUGGCUGGUGGCAAACUUUUAGAGGUUUUAUUUUCUAAGAAGUGGGGAUAGCUAGAGAGGAGAUGCAGUAUAGUACACGGUUGUGUUUUGCAGUUUUGGCUCUACGUUUAAAACAUUUUAUAGGGUUGUAAUACAAUGACAGUCUGUUUAAAAAUGAUAAACAGCAGCUGAGAUCAUAUGACUGUCAAAACAAACUUACAGCCACUCAUAAAGAAUUUAUCCCAUUUAUCUAUUAUGCUACUGUGGUAUACUUUCAUUUAUAGGCUAACAUAUUAUUUCAUGAGACCUUCUGAGGUCUGUCUCCCAGAGUUACUAGCGACUUGGAAUAGCUGUGCUGUGAAUAAAAAGGCAUAUUAUGGGUACA